RNAcentral lists this transfer RNA (72 nucleotides) under Acanthocystis turfacea Chlorella virus MN0810.1. RNAcentral's name for it is "tRNA-Arg". It matches the Rfam family "tRNA". Rfam says of the family: Transfer RNA (tRNA) molecules are approximately 80 nucleotides in length. Lineage: Varidnaviria; Bamfordvirae; Nucleocytoviricota; Megaviricetes; Algavirales; Phycodnaviridae. The record is from RNAcentral.
GGCCCCGUGAUGAAAUGGAUAUCAUACUUGACUUCUAAUCAAACUUUCCGGGUUCGAUCCCCGGCGGGGCUG